AUUGAACGCUGGCGGCAUGCCUUACACAUGCAAGUCGAACGGCAGCAUGAUCUAGCUUGCUAGAUUGAUGGCGAGUGGCGAACGGGUGAGUAAUACAUCGGAACGUGCCCUGUAGUGGGGGAUAACUAGUCGAAAGAUUAGCUAAUACCGCAUACGACCUGAGGGUGAAAGUGGGGGACCGCAAGGCCUCAUGCUAUAGGAGCGGCCGAUGUCUGAUUUGCUAGUUGGUGAGGUAAAGGCUCACCAAGGCGACGAUCAGUAGCUGGUCUGAGAGGACGAUCAGCCACACUGGGACUGAGACACGGCCCAGACUCCUACGGGAGGCAGCAGUGGGGAAUUUUGGACAAUGGGCGAAAGCCUGAUCCAGCAAUGCCGCGUGUGUGAAGAAGGCCUUCGGGUUGUAAAGCACUUUUGUCCGGAAAGAAAUGGCUCUGGUUAAUACCUGGGGUCGAUGACGGUACCGGAAGAAUAAGGACCGGCUAACUACGUG
Molecule: ribosomal RNA, 490 nt
Filed under: uncultured bacterium
Lineage: Bacteria
Description: partial 16S ribosomal RNA
Rfam family: Bacterial small subunit ribosomal RNA
Source: RNAcentral